UUCCCGUGAAGAGGCGGGAAUGCACAAAUAAGACGAGAAGACCCUAUGGAGCUUUAACUAACCAACCCAAAGAGAAUAAAUUUAACCAUUAAGGAAUAACAACAAUCUCCAUGAGUUGGUAGUUUCGGUUGGGGUGACCUCGGAGAAUAAAAAAUCCUCCGAGCGAUUUUAAAGACUAGACCCACAAGUCAAAUCACUCUAUCGCUCAUUGAUCCAAAAACUUGAUCAACGGAACAAGUUACCCUA
RNAcentral lists this ribosomal RNA (246 nucleotides) under Bos indicus (zebu cattle). RNAcentral describes it as "partial 16S rRNA". The record is from RNAcentral. Lineage: Eukaryota; Metazoa; Chordata; Mammalia; Artiodactyla; Bovidae.